CAGCCGCCCGGUAAUACGUAGGUGGCAAGCGUUGUCCGGAAUUAUUGGGCGUAAAGGGCUCGCAGGCGGUUUCUUAAGUCUGAUGUGAAAGCCCCCGGCUCAACCGGGGAGGGUCAUUGGAAACUGGGAAACUUGAGUGCAGAAGAGGAGAGUGGAAUUCCACGUGUAGCGGUGAAAUGCGUAGAGAUGUGGAGGAACACCAGUGGCGAAGGCGACUCUCUGGUCUGUAACUGACGCUGAGGAGCGAAAGCGUGGGGAGCGAACAGGAUUAGAUACCCGUGUAGUCCCUGUCUCUUAUACA
This 301-nucleotide ribosomal RNA is filed under the name uncultured bacterium. RNAcentral describes it as "partial 16S ribosomal RNA". It matches the Rfam family "Bacterial small subunit ribosomal RNA", at positions 512 to 808 of the family's 1533-position model. The record is from RNAcentral.